This 157-nucleotide ribosomal RNA is filed under the name uncultured bacterium. RNAcentral's name for it is "partial 16S ribosomal RNA". It matches the Rfam family "Bacterial small subunit ribosomal RNA", at positions 355 to 509 of the family's 1533-position model. The record is from RNAcentral.
UGAGGAAUAUUGGGCAAUGCCCGCAAGGGUGACCCAGCAACGCCGCGUGGAGGAUGAAGGUCGUAAGAUCGUAAACUCCUGUUAGAGGGGAAGAAUAGCUAAGUUUGGAGCUUAGUAUGACUGUACCCUCAGAGAAAGCCCCGGCUAACUACGUGCC